AGGAUCCCACAGCGUGCAGUCACAGGCCUUGUUCGGCUUCAGCGCAAUGCCAUUUGCCUCCCGUCUCAGCUGUCCCCAGUAAUUCAUCUCCGGCUUGCUGAGGUGGAUUUAUUUCCAUUUCCAAUCAACUUUUGAUCAUUGAGCAAUGGUGUUGCCUUGAGAGAAGGGAAAGCCCACGUCACCUGCAACACGGUUUGGGUUUUCAGCUGGUGCAGGACAGCCCGUCUUCACAGGAACUUGUGCCAGGUUGCAUGGAGGGGAGGUUGAACCCUGUACAUUCGUGUGGUGUCUUCUCACCCCUGUUUCCUGCUGAAACCAGAAGCAUUGCUCCUGCCUGGACCAAGGAGCUGUGGCUGAAUGGUGCUUGGUAGGAAGCCCUGUGGAGAUGGAGUGAAGAUCAUAAGCAGAUGACAAAUGAAUGUUGAAAGGUGAGGUUUGAUGAGGGGAAGUGACUCAUGGGUUGGGAAUGGGGAUGGGGUCCCGGGGAGGCUCGGCAGCUCCAGUGACCCCUGGCUGCAAGGAGUCGUGGGGCAGGGGGGAGAGGCCAAGCACUGAGGAAUGAAACCAAUGGUUGAGUCCGUGGAGAGUUAUGAAAACCUAGAAGACAAGCCCAAAGCGGUCAUGUGGAAACUGGAGGAAUAUCCAGCGUUUCCAAACUGUUUGUGCCGUUCUUCCUUCCCUUGGCUUUGAUCAGUGUGAAGCAAGCAGAGAUAGAGACCUGAGGGAAGCCAGUGAAGUUGAUGCAAUGCUUUCAAGCUGUGUUCGAGCUCCUGAGCCCACAGCUGCCGUGCUGCGCAGGGAUGGGGCAGCAGCAUUUCCUAAGCUGCUGUAACAUAAAGGAAUGGAGUAGUAUGUUUUAAAUAGUCUAGACGGCCUCAAAUGAACCCUCUGAUCUUCUCCUGCAAGAGCCACCAGAAGCCAGCAGAGCUGUCGUGUGUCUGCAGGCAGGGUGGAUGCGCUGGGGAGGGAGGCACAGAUGCUGCCGGCACACAUGUCCCACAUUAAGCAAUGCAAAUCGGGGAGUGAGUCACCGACCCGUUUCUCCUCCCACCACACUCCAGUAGAUGUGUGUGCAGCGCCUGUGUGCAGCGAGGCUCGGCGG
This 1102-nucleotide long non-coding RNA is filed under the name Anas platyrhynchos platyrhynchos (common mallard). RNAcentral describes it as "lncRNA (ENSAPLG00000028029.1)". The record is from RNAcentral. Lineage: Eukaryota; Metazoa; Chordata; Aves; Anseriformes; Anatidae.